Long non-coding RNA from Gastrolobium bilobum, 1022 nucleotides. RefSeq lists it as uncharacterized. The record is from RefSeq and is a predicted model, not a curated record. The transcript has 3 exons. NCBI's taxonomy places the organism in Eukaryota, Viridiplantae, Streptophyta, Magnoliopsida, Fabales, Fabaceae.
CCUUGUUCAAUUGAUAAGGUCCAUACAAGAAUUAUCACUUUACUCUAUUCCUUCUCUCAAGCGCUGAAUGUUACUCUUUUCCCUUCCUCAAGCGCUGAAUAAGUGGAAUUUAAGCUGGAUGCUAACCUUGUAAUUAGAAACAAAAUUGGACCACCCUCACUCCCUCUUGGCCGUGCGUAUUUCGUGAGAGAAACUCAAGGAAAAGCCUCAAAGGAAAAACUCUACAUUAUCCUCAUUUCCUCUUCAUAGAAGCCGUGAACCCCUUAGACAAAAACACUCACCUCAACUUCCACCCUAUCUUCUUGCUGUUCGGCUGAAGGUACACCUCAAGGAGGGGAGGCGCUAAUUUUGUGGUCCUCCUUGUUGUCGUUGCUUUAUGUGAUUGGAUGGAGAACUCACUGCAUGCUGCUCGAAAUCCAGAGUCUUCCCAUCGUUUUCUGCUUUUCUUGCGUGCAGCCGAAGACCCUCACUCAAGGAGGCAAAGCAAUUUUCUCUCCUUGUUCAACGCAACCUAAAUCUGUCCCGAUCAAGCUUUGUUUCGUUUCCCUGCAUGCCCAUGAAUCAGCAGUGACUGAGCCCCUUUCCCUUGCAUGUAACUGGAUUCAGACCUUUGGAAUAUAGGAGAACGUAGAGGGCUGUCCCUUGGUUCGAUUUGGAACCCUGGAUGUGUAGUCAAGAAGAGGUGCACGUAACUCUUAUUGAGUGAGCUGAAUUUUGGUGUUGUUGAUUAUUGCUUGGACAUAAGGAGGACGUAAAAGCUUUUGAGGACUUGGAUAUUUGCUGUUGGCUUCUACUGUUUUGGGCAUGCUGCUAUUGAUGUGAUGUUUUAUGGAUAACUGUAUGAAAUUGAGAAGCUUUUAUUACUGCGAACUAUGAUUUUAUUAUUGCAUUACGAUUUUAUGACCAGCAAGUAUUUUGGAAACAGAUGUUGAAACGUUUGCGAAAAGUAUUUUGACAUGUUAUCUAAAUGCUGAGUUUUGAAAAGUCUUUGUGAGCACUUUGUAAGUUGUCGUACUGGGGCU